GAUGAACGCUGGCGGCGUGCUUAACACAUGCAAGUCGAACGAUGAAGCUCAGCUUGCUGGGUGGAUUAGUGGCGAACGGGUGAGUAACACGUGAGUAACCUGCCCUUCACUCUGGGAUAAGCAUGGGAAACUAGGUCUAAUACCGGAUAGGAGCGCCUACCGCCUGGUGGGUGUUGGAAAGAUUUAUCGGUUUUGUAUGGAUUCGCGGCGUAUCAGCUUGUUGGUGAGGUAAUGGCUCACCAAGGCGAUGACGCGUAGCCGGGCCGAGAGGGUGACCGGCGACAGUGGAGGUGAGAGACGGCACAGAGUCCGACGCGAGGCAGCAGUAGGGAAGGGUGCGAAAUGGGCGAAAGACUGACGGAGGAACGACGCGUGAGUGAUGAAGGGCCUCGGAUGGUAAAACGCUGUUAGGAGGGAAGAACAAAUGUGUAAGUAACUAUGCACGUGUUGACGGUACGUAAUAAGAAAGCCACGGCUAAUUACGU
Molecule: ribosomal RNA, 485 nt
Filed under: uncultured bacterium
Lineage: Bacteria
Description: partial 16S ribosomal RNA
Rfam family: Bacterial small subunit ribosomal RNA
Source: RNAcentral